ACUGCUCUCACACAAAGCCUGUUUGGUGGUCUCUUCACACGGACGCGCAUGAAAUUUGGUGCCAUGACUCGGAUCGGGGGACCUCCCUUGGGAGAUCAAUCCCCUGUCUUCCUGUUCUUUGCUCCGUGAGAAAGAUCCACCUACAACCUCAGGUCCUCAGACCGACCAGCCCAAGGAACAUCUCACCAAUUUUAAAUCAGACUGAGUCUCGCUCUGUUGCCCAGGCUGGAGUGCAGUGGCACGUCGGGUCACUGCAAACCUCCCGCUCCUGGGUUCAAGCGAUUCUCCUGCCUCAGUCUCCUGAGUAGCUGGGAUUACAGGCAUGAACCACCACGCCCGGACUUCCUGCCCUUUGAAUUUACCAAGAAGAGGAUAAUACUGGAGGCUGCCAUGGGAGAAGUCUGCACAAAAAGAGCAAGUUUAAGAGCUUCAGGAGUCAUAAAUGGCUUGAGAAGAUUAUGCUAGAGAUUGAAGCAGAUGGAAGAUUCUAGAAACAGAAAGCAUUCUUUUCAUUGGUGUGAGUCUUGAAUAUAAAUGGAAAUCAGAGGUCUGUAAUAGCAGGCCAGUGUGGAUAAGGCAGUAAGGUUUUGAGUCUGAGGAGAUGGCUGGGGGCAGUUUGUAGACUUAUUGUCAGUCCAGUGUAGAAUUUGAGAAUAUAGCCAGGGCUUAAGGUUCCAGUUUCAAAUUAAAGACAAAAGAAAUCAGCAAUACCAAAAUGAAGACAGAAGCCUGGGAAUUGUGCCUCAAGAUCUGGACUGAGAGGACAUUUCUACACAACAGCUCCCCUAAGGGCAGGGCUAUGACCGUUGUUGCUAAGCUGUCACCAUCUCUCCUUCCCUAUUAGACUGGCUUCUGUGGGGUAAUUAACCAGUACAAGGAUGUAUGGGAAGCUCUUCUGAGAAGACCUCACAUUAAAACAAAGUGUUGUUAUUCAAGCUGGGUCAUAUUUGGGCACCUUGUUAUUACAGCUUUGAGGAGGGAUAUCAAACUGUCAUAUUCACCUAUGAGUUUAGGAUCAGUGGAGGGAAGAGAACAGAAGGGCCACACAGAAGGGGAAGCUCAGGCACAGAUGGCCAGCAGCCAGGCUCGCUGUAGAGGUGAGAUUAUCAAACAUGACCAUACAAAGGCUGCAGAGGCAAGAUGCUUCCAAUAGCCAGGAAGAAUGUGGGCAGGGGAGAAUUUGGUCCAUUUGAAGUCAGAAUUAUACAUGAAGACACUUGUAAUCAAAUAAAUGCAGAACAUAUUUGUAAAGGGAAAUAAAGUAGGAGUUAAUUUUUUUUAACAAAUUAUGAUUGAAAUCUAAAAUACCAAGAUUAACAUUCUACAAGGGUAUUAAUACAACAAUGCCAUUUUAACUCAAAGAAUGUCUAAAUAUUUGUACAAAAUAGCUGCUUACUGAUGCUUGUGAAAAGGAAGAGAUUGCUUCCCAGCACACUGUAUCAGAGAGCCAUGAUAAUAGCCAUAGCUUAAGCAGACAAAGUAAAAUGUAAAAAUCCAAAAAAGUAUCCAUCACUACUACCACCACUCUUUAAAAAUGCAAAGCUAUUAUUUAUGGUGCAUUCCAAUUCAGUUAACUUCCUUCUUGCCUUUAAAUAGAUGCCCCUGACUUAAUUGAAGUGUUUUAAUUAAUAACAUAAAAAUAACAAAUUGGAACUAGAAAAUGAUUACAAAAUAGAAGAAAAGCCUGGGAAUGUCAAGAGGUUCUUAAGAAUAUCAGAUAAGUGAGCUCAUUCAGUGAUAGAACAAGAAAUACUAGAGGGAUAAGCUGAAAGCUACAUAGGACUGAAGUUUUUUAGACUCUACAUUUAUCAAAGUAUUGGGUCAAUUUUGUUGUGGACAUCAAAAGCUAUCUCAAGAAAAAGCUCAAAUUAUUACACUGCACUGGAAUUUUAGUUUAUCCAUUAAGAUUUGUAGGGAGCAAAACAGCAGCUUCCUUGUUAUAAUGCUGUUUGUCCUAAUGAGGGGAGCUUAAGGGAGGCAGAGAGAGAAGCACAUACUGUCUUAUUUCAAUAUGAAACCCAAACAGCAAGCAACUGUCUCUUCUACAGAAGUGCAACCUCAAAGAGUUCUGAGAGUUUUUGCCGUAUCACAGCUGGGACCUUGUUGUAGUCCAAAUUAGUGUGUGUUCCUCAAUAUCCUAAGGGAGGUUCAGAUAUCCUUUCAAUCAUUCUCCUGGAAUUCUGGCUUCUGAGAAUUUGAUAUGAAAUGGAAAUUGACUAACACGAAGAAAAGACAGAAACUUGGCCUAAGGCCAACCAUUUUCUUUCCUUAGUACAGGGUAACCAUAUAACUUAUUUUCAAACUUGGACAGACUCCGAAGGGGGCUCUUUUAAGAACUGUGCCAGGACAAUGGGAGUCGGUAGCAACUGUCCCAGGUAAAUGGAACAUAUACUCCAUUUAGUCAUAGAGAAUCUAUGUCUAAUAUAUUGUUUCUUUAGUUUUUGUAUAUCUUAGUAGCUAAAUAUAACUAAAUGUAGCUAGUCUUUAUAAAGUGUAAGCUUUUUAUUCUUUAAUACUGUGUGGCUUUGUGAGACUAUUUGGUGUCACAUAGGCCCUGUACCUCUGAGUUUACUGAGAAUAAAAACUUAUGAUUCAAAAAGUUAAGCAAUCAUUAACUAAGUAACUCCAAAGAGCCCUAAGAGAUCACACAAAUAUGGAUUUCUACUCUAUAAGUUUAAUUAGUCAUAGUACAGAGUGACUUAUGAGAAGCCUCAUGCCUCACGAAUGAUGAACGUUGAAUCUGUUCAUAAAUAAUAGAUUAAACUUUAAAUCAAUAACCAUUAGAGAAAACAGAAAUAUAUUAUGGUGAGUUUCAUUCAUAUAUAUAUCUGCCCCUUUCUAUAUAUUUUAAUUAAACCAAUUUAAGUCAUAAAUUCUUCAAUUAUAAUUCAGCCAUAGGUCCUUUCCUCAAAAACGAAAGAUAGUCAUCUGGCAUUAAAAGAGGAAGAAGGAAGUGAUCACUAACAGCUGGAAUCAAUGAUCAUAUAUAAAUAUAAACCAUGGUUCUCGGGGCCACUGUUUGUUUUUGUUUCGUGUUUUUUUGUCAAUAUUGAAAUUGUCCUGCAAAGUCAAAGUCAUCUUUCUAAAUCUAGUUGCUAAUACUAUGGCAUUCUCUUUUUUGCUAUUCUUAGUAUUGUAAGAAUGUGAACUCAGAACCUAUUAAUAGAAAGUCUUCCCUUUGGAAAAUGGAGCUUAGACCCAGAAAGGAGGGUGCUGCAUACCAGCUCUCUGCUCUCCUCCUCUGAACAGUCUCUCCCCUAGGUUUCCCCUCCUCCUCCUCCUCCUCCUCUCCCUGCAGGUUGGUCCCUCCAUCUCGUCACCAUUCUGACCUCUUUAAAUUUCUUUGUAUAGAAUUUUUUAAAUAAAAUUUCUUUUUAUAGCUAGAGUCCUAUUUUUUUCCUCUUUGUUUUGGGCCUAAUCUAUCAAGUAUUAACAUAUACAGUUUUUCUAAUGUGGGAGGAACAAGAUUGCUCAUUCAUUCAACACAUUUUGAUUGAGAGCCCACCAUGUUCCAGAUGCAAGGAUCAGCAGUGAAUAAAAAGACAUAAAAAUCCCUGCCCUCAUGAAUCUUAGAGGACAAAAGAAAGCCACUCUCAGGUUCAUCAGAAGAGUGUAAUAUAUAUAUAACAACCCUUCCUAGUACUAAGAUUAACUACCUUUAUCUUCUGGUAUUCAUUUCAUAAUAUAUGCGGUAUUUAUGUUACAUAUGUAUGUAAAUGCAUAGAAAAGUUUGGGAAUAACAAUAAUAAAAUAGGUUCAUUUUGCA
This 3766-nucleotide long non-coding RNA is filed under the name Homo sapiens (human). Its description in RNAcentral is "CCN2 antisense RNA 1 (CCN2-AS1)". The record is from RNAcentral. Lineage: Eukaryota; Metazoa; Chordata; Mammalia; Primates; Hominidae.